This 301-nucleotide ribosomal RNA is filed under the name uncultured bacterium. Its description in RNAcentral is "partial 16S ribosomal RNA". It matches the Rfam family "Bacterial small subunit ribosomal RNA", at positions 509 to 807 of the family's 1533-position model. The record is from RNAcentral.
CAGUCGCCGCGGGAAUACGUAGGUGGCAAGCGUUAUCCGGAAUUAUUGGGCGUAAAGCGCGCGUAGGCGGUUUUUUAAGUCUGAUGUGAAAGCCCACGGCUCAACCGUGGAGGGUCAUUGGAAACUGGAAAACUUGAGUGCAGAAGAGGAAAGUGGAAUUCCAUGUGUAGCGGUGAAAUGCGCAGAGAUAUGGAGGAACACCAGUGGCGAAGGCGACUUUCUGGUCUGUAACUGACGCUGAUGUGCGAAAGCGUGGGGAUCAAACAGGAUUAGAGACCCCAGUAGUCCCUGUCUCUUAUAC